GCAGUUACGUUACUGACCAUAUCUUGGAGGUGCCCGUAAGUUGGCUCUUGGCCUUAAAUUAUAAUGCGGUGGAGCUUGUUCCAUCGCUGGUCCUUGGGCAUUGUAAAUUUCCUCCAUUUCUGCCAAUUCAAGCCGUCGCUGCGGCGGCAUUCUAUCUCGGACCUCUCUCUGUUCCUGCGGCCUCUCGGGUUGAGGGUCUGCAUGGGUCCCUGGGUCGGCCAGCAGCGUAAUGGAAGGGUCUCGCCAGUAUUGCUGCUUUUGUUAGCGUCGCCUAGGAACGGCUAGCAGUUUCACCACUGUGAGCCACAGGAGGUUUCGGAUCACAGAACGGCUGAUCCUCGGUGAACUUCUUCAAUCGGUUGACGUGUACAAGUUGUACGUCACCGGAAUUUUUCAGAUGCUGGAUGCGUGCAUUGACGGGACUAGUCAAAUAUAGCACUCUGUAUGGACCUUUGUUCAGUUUUUGGAGUUUGCAGGCGAGUCCUGGUUUGAGACACCAGUCUCUUCGGAGGCGUGGGUUCGAAUCCCACCGCUGCCACCAAAUGUCAGCGGGGCCUUUAGCCCUUACCUUCCGUAAAGACGGCUGCUGGUGAACUGCAUGUAUUUCGGUCGGACACAGGACUUUAUAUAUAUGAUGAGCCCACGUGCACGAAUGUAAGACACGGGGUGACACGUGUGGAUGUAAAACAUAGGGCGGCCGGCUCAGCGCUGCAAGUGCAGCGCCUGAUCACUAUCAUAAUCGUGUACGCGUGCGAAGCCGAAGCCGUGCCAAGCCGGACGUCGAGUUAGGUAGUCUCUGUGGUAGAAGCACAUCCGGUUUCUGGCGGUCCUUACGGGCUCUAGCAGGUGGAGGGCUGGGCUGAGAGCGUCCCAACAAGCGCACUGACCGUUUGGGUUGAUGAGUUCCUGGUUAUAGUGGGCCCCGAAGCUCGGUCGUUGAUUUGGUUCUUGGGGCUGGUGCGGCAGAAUGGGUAUGACGAUGUUGUCGGCCGGGGAUUGCCGACUUACUUGGAGGUUCGGCGUGCCAGUGUGUCCGUAUAGCUGGUCUCGAGCACAGUGUGUAUUUGACAAUUCACGCACGCUUAUAUACAAGACCUUGCACGCACAGCACGACCAUGUAAGGGACGUCAUGCGGCGAGCGUGUGGGCCUAGAGGAACCGCGCGGAAGCCUCUGCAGAGCCGGUCAUUCGUUGAACCCGGACCUGCAGUGGCCGCACGCACAUGAUUUGAAGCGAACAUGAUUUGAUCGCUAACAGUCCCCUUCUUCGGCAAGAAUGGAACAUUCCCUUACUGUGGGGGGGGGGAGGGUGGAGGGCAAUCAUGUUCUCUGCCAGGGCCAGUCAAGUAGCCACACGAGGGACCCGGGCCACGACGGUGGGCAGUGGGCACCAGCCUCCACGGCGACGAAGCGCGCGCCUUUACGACGAUCGGUGUAUCGGCCGCCACGUUGAUGCGGGCGCACCAGCCUCCACGGCGAUCGCCUCCGUAGCGUUACGCACGUCACCGCGGCGCCUCACACGCCUCCGUGGUGUUUUCUGCUUCCACAUCACCGCGUUGGGCUUCUCUGCCGUGGCGUUCUCUACCGUGGCGUUCUCUACCGUGGAGUUCUCUGCCGUGGCGUUCUCUGCCCCGGCGUUCUCCAUACUGUCGUUACCGGGUCGGUUUACUGCUCCGCAGCGGCUCUUCUGUGCUCCGCUGCAUUUUAUGCUCUGUCUUUACCGUGACGACUACCAUUAUUGCUUUCCUUCCACUACGGCUGCUACGUUUUUUGACUGCUCGUCACUCGUCAACCAACGCGAGGUGAAACGGUUAAGGUGUUCAAUUGGAUUGGUAGUAGCAUUAUGUCAGCAGUCGAUAGGUAUUGACCAUUGUCCUUGUGUGUUCACAGAAACUGGCGACUUUGUUUCAUCUGCCCUGAUCGCCGCUUCUGUCGACACCAUCGAUCUGUACCUUCUCAUGAAGGAAGUCUCUCUGCGACUUCAAUCACCAUUGAUGCUCAGCGAUUGACACCAGGACAUUGCUGAUUCAUGGCAAAACGCUCAGGCGGAAAUAGUUCAUAAUUUUAAAUGUUCUUGCUAAUAAAAUAGACGCGAAUAUCAUAGGUUAUUUUGCAUUGUACCAAAAUAUAAUAAUUCUAAACUUAGUGCGGGUAUUUAACCCUAUUAGUGGCAGGCUCCUGGCUACCCCAUAUUAGUGGCAGGGGGGGGGGCUGUUUACGACCCCCCCUUGAUAUCUCGAGAUCUAACCGGCCGAUUUUCAAAAUUCAAACGGCAUUCGAUUUGGCUCAAAGAGAUCUACAUUUCGAAAAAAAUUAAAAAAUGUCAAUAGGGGGGUAGAGGGGGGUAAAAACGGGCAAAUUGCAGAUACAUUUUAGACUGUUUAUCACGGCCAGGUUUCUGAACCAAUCUUAACGCAACUUUUGCCGAUCGAUAGAGAAUGAACCAGGAAUUCACAUGGAUCCUAAAAAUAUGCAUUUUCAAAAAUCAUAGGCGGAUACAGAUCAUUGAGAUUGGGGGUACACAAAAAGUAGGUAUAGUAAAUAAGGUUUUUGUUGGUACUGUUUCUAAAAAGGGUGGCAAUGGUCUUGUUAUGUUACAAUUUUCUUAUGAGAGAACGACUAAAAUUGUAUUGGUCAUGCAUAGGCGGUGUCAGGGCACCUAUGUUGGAAGGUAAAAAAUAACCCCCCUUUUUGGACGCCUGGAUCCGCCUAUUAUAGCAAAAACGUGUCAAAAGAGGAUGCACAAUAACUUUGUAUAUGUUAUCACAUGAUACCUUUCAUUCACUGCUCGUAAAACUGGCGCAGCAUCGUGAUCUUCGCCCAAAUGACUCGCUUCACGAAUAGGACCCCCCAAUUCCCAGUGCUCUGGAGCCGCCCCUGGUAAAGUUAUGAACUUGAAAUUUUCAGGGAAUGUGCCCAAUCUAGUUUUAGGAAAAGUCAGAAAAUUUCAGCAUCGUAGCUUCAGCGGUUUCGGAGAUAUUCCCGAAAAACCUGAGGGGUGGAUAAAAACAACCCCCCCCCCCUGCCACUAUAAUAGGGUUAACGGUCAAUAAGUAAUAACUCAUACACAGACUCACGGACAUGUGCUGACAACUUUGGCCUUAUCCCUGAAAGGCCAGAUUACGCUAAGUGAGCUCACCAGUACCACUCAUUGUGCAAAGUUGCCAUCUUGACGUGUGUCUAGGAUAGAGUUGUACAAACGUGCAACUUGCAGAAAGUGUCCAUGUGGAUCUCAAUGGCCAUAAUUUUGAUAGCUAGCUUCUGUUAAUAAGUUUUCAAUUCACACGACCCCUUAUGUCCAUGCCCAAUCGAGCUGGAAAAAGCAACUAUCCACAUUUACCCGAUACCAAGUUUGCCUAUCUUGAGCACUAAGUCGUGCCUAUCUCAAUAAAAUUGUGUUCCCUAUACGACUUACCAGUGACCUCAUGGAAGUGCGAGUGACUGGACCAGGCGUUCUCGUAACGUCUCUCCGGUACAGACUUGCAAAUACAACUGAAGUCAGCUUGUUACCUCGAACCACCAUGACCUUUCCGGACUAUUUCGUCACACUCGCGCUAAGAAUAAGUAUAUAACAGUGCUUCUAAUGCUGUGCCGUAUGGUCGUGUUGCAGGAUGUCGCCACACCAGCUGACCCGAUCGGUCAACCAUCGAGCCGGAGUUGGAGCUGGGAGCAGCGCAGCUCUCAGGGCUGCAGAUGGACUGCUCUUCUCUGCAGGCUCCGCACCAUUGUCAAUAUAACCAGCAAAGCCACCGUCCGCUACCCAUCGGUCGAACUAUUCGGGCCGACGAACGAUCACGCCCGAUGAGAUGACACAGACGUCAAACCCCGCGCCGACGGAAGAGCUCAGUUAAAGGAAAUAGUUCACUUUUAACAUGGGGUUUUGAACUGGAAUAGCAGUUUCGUAGCUUGAGCUGAGACUAGCACAAAUCAGGAGCUUUUACGGCUCAACGAUCACCCUAGACGAAGAUAUUCCAUUUCUCGUUCCGAAAAGAGUGCCUUGCAGAGGAAUGCGUGCCUUGCACAGGAAUGCAGCCAAGUCAUCGUCAGCCAAUCAGCAUGCUGCUUACAGCCAAUGCAGUAUGCGUAGGUUUGAACUACGCAAUAUGAUUGGUCAACGCGUAAUAAGCUUCCGCGUCAAACAUUAUUUUACAUAGAAUAUAGUUCGUCCUAUAUUAAAAGAUAGAAAAUAAUUGUUUUUACAAAAAGGUUUUAUUUUAUUUUCUGAUUAUUUUGAGCAUAAAAAAUAAUAAAUCCAUAGCAAAAUACUAAUUUCGGGAAACUGAACUGUUUCCUUUAACGUGUCGGUUAACUGACUAAAAGCGGCACAGUCGACACACAUCUCUGUUGCGGGCGAUCAUGUGAAUGUGGAUGAGUCACAGUCGCAGGGUAUGACUGCGUAGUGCAUUCAUGUGUAUGUCUUGAGGGAUUUCCCCGAGAUAUUAUGUCAUUACUGGGAAGAGAUGUGACGAGCAGCCAAUGGGACGAAUGCUAGGUGACAUGACGUUCCUGUAUAGAUGUUUAGUGCGUCUGUCUAGCUGAGCGUUGCUAUCGACCGUUGCACCUGUGAGCUGAAGUGUUUCUGUCGUGCCUGGAUUUUCUCUACUAGUUACAGUGUGAUAAGGCUUUAAUUUGGAGCAUUAUAUGGUCUUAUGCCCGUUUUUGUUGUGGAUUUUAUCAUCAUAUUAUCGUUGUUUCACUUUUCAACAUAUAACAUGAAAAGUAACCACCUAUAUAUGUGUCUUGUCGUGGUCUCAUUCACACCACGAAGCCUGCCCAUUUAUUUGACAUUUUACUGUGCUUCUGAAUGUUUUUAUUGGGUCAACAGACAACAAUACACGUCAGUAGCCAAAUUUCA
This is a long non-coding RNA of Amphibalanus amphitrite, 4853 nucleotides long. RefSeq lists it as uncharacterized. Lineage: Eukaryota; Metazoa; Arthropoda; Thecostraca; Balanomorpha; Balanidae. The record is from RefSeq and is a predicted model, not a curated record. The transcript has 2 exons.